GGUAUUUUUAAAGCGUGCCUCACAGAUUUCUUCAUCUUUGCUCAGAGGUUCAGCUCUGAGGAGGAGCAGGGAAGAAUGCAGGUCCAGCAGCUGGUGAUUGUCUGGAGCUUCAAGGUUCUCCUGGCAGGAGCAGAAAAACCAACAAUCACAUAUCCAUUCACUAAAACCUGUGCAGCUGAAGGGUCCACUGUCCUCCUGCCCUGCAGCUUCACUCCAUCAACAGAAGUCAUCGGAGUAGAAGGAAAAGAUCCACGGAAGAUCGUCAGAGUCCUCUGGUGCAGAAAACAUCCCAUCUGUCAAGGAGCCACUCCUUCAGUGUUUGACAGUGAAGCCCCAGACACAGAUUCUAGUUUUCAGUACCUGGGAGACAAGAAGGGAAACUGUACUUUACAGAUCACAAACAUUCAGCUGGAAGAUGCAGAAACGUAUCGCUUCAGGAUGGAAGCUGAAGAUCCUGCUGGACAUUUCACCAACAGAACAGGAGUGACAGUCAGAGUAGAAGAAAAUCCUCUCAUGAGCGUAACAGGAAGUAACGGCUCAGAGGUCAGAGGUCAGACAGUUUCCCUUCAGUGCACCACUUCAUCCUGCACCUUUCAUGGUGUCAGCAUCACCUGGUUGAAAGAUGAUCACGCCCUCCCAGAGACUGGCCCCACCCUUCAUCUGGGCCCCCUGACUGCAAAGGAUUCUGGGAACUACAGCUGUGCUCUGGGGACCAAAAGGCGGUCGGGUCUGUUCAGGCUGCAGGUGGAGGCUGACUCUGCAGGUGGGGGUGUCAAAGCUAUUAAUAUUUUAGGAUUUUUCCUGUUGGAGGAAACCAAAGACAGAUCCAGUAAAGUUUGUUUCAUCGCUUUAAGCUCUGUCAAAGUAAAUUCUGUUUGUCUGCAUCAGAGUCUGCAUCUGUCAACGUUUACUCUUCAUUAUGGAUUUGUGUCGGACAGACUCAGGACUAUUCUAUGGUGCAGUUCAGCGCCUAAUCUAUUGCGCAUCAAAACCGUAAAACCGCUUAUCAAAAUAUAUAAAUUGAGAACUAAAACCCCUAAUUUACAACCAAAAUAUUUAACCCAAAGUGCAAUCAUGUUUCUUAGGUGCCGAUUUGUUUUCUCACUAUUCUGAAAUCGUCUUUUAAGUUGCACUUUUAUAUUUUGCAGUUGCAAUUCUAAAAUCUGUAAUAUCAGCGACACGCCCAUCAAGCUGAGAGGAGGCGGGACAUCCCCGACAUCCAGUAGCUCAUUGGCUACUGAAUGACUCCGAGUCUUACGUCAACAUACCUGCAAGAGAAGGAAAGGUUUUCAUAAGUUUGGUUGCAAAUUCUGGGUUUUGGGUCUCAAUUUAUGGAUUUUGAUUUGCGGAUUUUGGGUUUUGAUUUGCGGUUUUACGGUUUUGAAGUGCAAUUCAUUAGCCGCUGAAUUGACACCAUACCAGAUACAAGGACAUGUUCAGGAAGCUGAAGGACAGAUAAGUUUCCAUCCAUGUGGAUUCCUUUUGCUGAACCAUCAACCAUCAGAUGUUUAUUCCACAGGAGGAACGUCUCACGUGAUCCUCGCUGUGGUGCUCGCCGUCCUGCUGGUUGGCAUCGCUCUCAUUGUGCUCUUCUUCCUCAUUAAAAGGAGGCGAGCAGCUGAAAGACAGAGCGCCGUAGAAAGACAGCGCAGUGUUGGGGUUCUGCCGUCUGGAAAUAGAGGAGCAGCUCAAAGAACCGACCCAAACACGGAGGAUGUCAGCUACGCCGCCAUUCACUUUAAAGCAAGCAACCCCAGCAGAGAGGUGCAGUCGGAUGCAGAUGAUGUGGUCUACUCCGCAGUGGUCAGUCGAGGUUGAUGACAAAUCCUGCAGAGUGUCAGAACAAGAGCACAGGGAGACGCCGCUGGAUGCUCCGCCCCCUGAGAGUUGGUGUCUCUGUGCGUAUAACCUCAAAGCUGCAGCUUCAGCAUCUCAUCUGUGACCUUCAGCAGUUCAUGACCACAAACAAAAGAGUCUCUUCACACCAGAGGAGGCGUCUAAGAAGGUGAAGCUCUGGUCCUCAUCAGUCUUUGAGCUCCUGGAGCAAAAAGGUCACAGAAGCUCCUUUAGUUUGUGCAGACAGUGUGGUUAUUCAGGGAUGUCUGAGGAUGAACUUUCAACAAACAGUUUUUAAAGAUAGUUUGUGGAUUUUUUUGACCAUAAAUAAUUUUCUUUUCUUCAGCUUUUACUCUGUCUCGACUGUCUAUCUAAAAGUUUCUGUAAUUUAUUCUUUUUUUUACAUGCUUUUACUUCUUUAAAACAUAUCUGUGAGUUUGUUGCUGAAUUGGUGUUUUUGUGCAUUUUGACACAAAAUAAUCAAUAAAGACAAUCUGAUUGUU
Molecule: non-coding RNA, 2339 nt
Organism: Oryzias latipes (Japanese medaka)
Lineage: Eukaryota; Metazoa; Chordata; Actinopteri; Beloniformes; Adrianichthyidae
Source: RefSeq, a predicted model, not a curated record